UGGGGAAUCUUGGACAAUGGGCGCAAGCCUGGUCCAGCCAUGCCGCGUGAGUGAAGAAGGCCUUAGGGUUGUAAAACUCUUUCGCCGGAGAAGAUAAUGACGGUAUCCGGAGAAGAAGCCCCGGCUAACUUCGUGCCAGCAGCCGCGGUAAUACGAAGGGAGCUAGCGUUGUUCGGAAUCACUGGGCGUAAAGCGCACGUAGGCGGAUAGUUAAGUCAGGGGUGAAAUCCUGGGGCUCAACCCCAGAACUGCCUUUGAUACUGGCUGUCUCGAGGUCGAGAGAGGUUGGUGGAAUUCCUAGUGUAGAGGUGAAAUUCGUAGAUAUUAGGAAGAACACCGGUGGCGAAGGCGGCCCACUGGCUCGGUACUGACACUGAGGUGCGAAAGCGUGGGGAGCAAACAGGAUUAGAUACCCCGGUAGUCCCUGAGCGGGCUGGCAAGGCGCAU
RNAcentral lists this ribosomal RNA (447 nucleotides) under uncultured bacterium. Its description in RNAcentral is "bacterial SSU rRNA". It matches the Rfam family "Bacterial small subunit ribosomal RNA", at positions 355 to 825 of the family's 1533-position model. The record is from RNAcentral.